Molecule: transfer RNA, 69 nt
Filed under: Ictidomys tridecemlineatus (thirteen-lined ground squirrel)
Lineage: Eukaryota; Metazoa; Chordata; Mammalia; Rodentia; Sciuridae
Description: Spermophilus tridecemlineatus (thirteen-lined ground squirrel) tRNA
Rfam family: tRNA
About the family: Transfer RNA (tRNA) molecules are approximately 80 nucleotides in length. Their secondary structure includes four short double-helical elements and three loops (D, anti-codon, and T loops).
Source: Rfam by way of RNAcentral
GGGGAUAUAGCUCAGUGGUAGAGUUCUUGCCUCACAUGCAUAAGGCCCUGGGUUUGAUCCCCGGCACCA